This 22-nucleotide ribosomal RNA is filed under the name Lysiloma divaricatum. Its description in RNAcentral is "partial large subunit ribosomal RNA". The record is from RNAcentral. Lineage: Eukaryota; Viridiplantae; Streptophyta; Magnoliopsida; Fabales; Fabaceae.
CGCGACCCAAGGUCAAGUGGGG